CUUGCUGGGGGAUUAGUGGCGAACGGGUGAGUAACACGUGAGUAACCUGCCCUUAACUCUGGGAUAAGCCUGGGAAACUGGGUCUAAUACCGGAUAUGACUCCUCAUCGCAUGGUGGGGGGUGGAAAGCUUUAUUGUGGUUUUGGAUGGACUCGCGGCCUAUAGAGCUUGUUGGUGAGGUAAUGGCUCACCAAGGCGACGACGGGUAGCCGGCCUGAGAGGGUGACCGGCCACACUGGGACUGAGACACGGCCCAGACUCCUACGGGAGGCAGCAGUGGGGAAUAUUGCACAAUGGGCGAAAGCCUGAUGCAGCGACGCCGCGUGAGGGAUGACGGCCUUCGGGUUGUAAACCUCUUUCAGUAGGGAAGAAGCGAAAGUGACGGUACCUGCAGAAGAAGCGCCGGCUAACUACGUGCCAGCAGCCGCGGUAAUACGUAGGGCGCAAGCGUUAUCCGGAAUUAUUGGGCGUAAAGAGCUCGUAGGCGGUUUGUCGCGUCUGCCGUGAAAGUCCGGGGCUCAACUCCGGAUCUGCGGUGGGUACGGGCAGACUAGAGUGAUGUAGGGGAGACUGGAAUUCCUGGUGUAGCGGUGAAAUGCGCAGAUAUCAGGAGGAACACCGAUGGCGAAGGCAGGUCUCUGGGCAUUAACUGACGCUGAGGAGCGAAAGCAUGGGGAGCGAACAGGAUUAGAUACCCUGGUAGUCCAUGCCGUAAACGUUGGGCACUAGGUGUG
Molecule: ribosomal RNA, 733 nt
Filed under: Arthrobacter sp. 7PE5.3
Lineage: Bacteria; Bacillati; Actinomycetota; Actinomycetes; Micrococcales; Micrococcaceae
Description: bacterial SSU rRNA
Rfam family: Bacterial small subunit ribosomal RNA
Source: RNAcentral